Podarcis lilfordi (Lilford's wall lizard) is the source of this 121-nucleotide non-coding RNA. The record is from the annotation of a GenBank genome assembly. Lineage: Eukaryota; Metazoa; Chordata; Lepidosauria; Squamata; Lacertidae.
UUGUGAUUUCUUCAGCAUGUCCAGCUCUCCUUUCCCUAAUAGUCCAUUCUUUUUGGGAGUAAGUCCCCCAAAAAAUGGACUAUUAGGGAAAGGAGAGCUGGACAUGCUGAAGAAAUCACAA